Molecule: long non-coding RNA, 285 nt
Filed under: Vigna radiata
Lineage: Eukaryota; Viridiplantae; Streptophyta; Magnoliopsida; Fabales; Fabaceae
Description: long non-coding RNA (VRAD_LNC003017)
Source: RNAcentral
CUAGCAAGGGAAAAAGGUGAUACUACGUUACCCAAAGACACAAGAAAAAUUGCAUCAAAACACAACACUUCAUAGACAUCGAUUAAUGUAAUGACCAACAUCUAUAGUGCCCAUAGACAUCGGGCAAUGCAAUGUUUGACGUGUUUAUAGACGUCGGACGUGUCACUGAACCGACGUCUAGGGUUCCUCUAUAGUGCCCUUAGACGUUGGUUAGUGUAAUGUCUAAUGUCUUUAUAGUCAUCGAGCUUUGCACUAAACCGACGUCUAUAGCAACAUCGCACCUGC